This is a non-coding RNA of Podarcis lilfordi (Lilford's wall lizard), 5041 nucleotides long. The record is from the annotation of a GenBank genome assembly. Lineage: Eukaryota; Metazoa; Chordata; Lepidosauria; Squamata; Lacertidae.
GCGCAUUCAACUGCCGAAUAGCAUCCGGCGAGAUUCAGUGGUCCACAGACUUGGAGGAAGCCACCUGAUAAAGGAAGGCAUUUUUUUUCACCUGCUGGCUCUCUAACUCCUUCCCCGCUUGCCAUAAAGUGGUCGUUUAUGCAUAGCAAAAAAGAGAGGACAAACGCAUCAAAACAGAGGAUGAAAGAUGACAGGGAUUUGCAUAAGAAAUGCCCCUGCAAAUUUAUACAUAUAGAUGGAGAUUUAGAAAAAAAUACUGUCACUUAAAUACAAAUACAUCUGAAUAAUAAUAAUUUUACCCCACCCAUCCCCAGCCACUCUUGAACCAUGGCAGGGAAGACUUUAAGAGCUAUGUGCCUGCUUAAUCUGUGUCAAGGUGCUAACUAUUGAUGGGCAACUUCAAGACCCCUCCUGCUGUCCCUUCUUGUGGAAGGGGGCAUUGGGUGUUGCUCACCAGAGGCAUUUCAUCCGCCAAGCUCGGCACGCUCCCUCAGGAUUAAAACUACAAUUUUUGCCUUGGCAAGACCAGCCAAAAAUGAUAGAUGCCUACCAAUAUCUCUUGAUGAACCUGUCAUGUUCUAUUGUACAGCAAGUGGCCAUCAGAACACCUUGUGGCAGUAAACUCCAUAAGGUAAUUAAAUGUGUAAAAUAUCCACUUCCAACGGUAUGUCCUGUACCUGCUGCUAAUCAUCUUCAACAAAGGCUAAACUUUGUUCUUAACAGUCACUUUUAAAAAGGAAAAGAAAGCAAUAGCAGCCACAGGGGGCACUAUGGAUUUUUAGGAUUAUGUAUAGCAGGUAGGAAUGGGGAAGUUAACCCUUUCCUUCCUUGACACCAUCCUGACAAACAUAACUCCUCUGAAGCCGCUGUGUGCAUUGGGAGGUAAGCUCCCAUUGGCACCCAAGAAAAUUAACAAUUUUGGAGGAAUGUGCCUUUUGUUGUUGUUGUUAGAACCACAGCAGGGGAGGAAAGGAUUAUAUUGCUCCUCUUUGCCAGGUUUGAUCCUUAGUCCUACCCAACCAGUGGCUGUUGUUUGCAUGAUUUUUCUAAAAAACAGUGACAGCUCUGUUGGUUUGUAGCAGCAGAAACAGAGACUCUUGUGACUGAUUUACUAUAGUAUGCUUUACAGGACAAUCCAAGGCACAGGGAGGUGGUACAGAGUAAGCUGGUGCAAAUGAGGUGUGCGUAAACCUAUCCUGAGCCCAUUCAAAAGUCCCAGGGAGGGGGACAUGCUGGCCAGUGUUGUUAUCAGGGGUGGCUCAGAGUUUUCCUGCCCCCCCCCCGAGAGAUCUGCAUGUUGGGACCUGGGAGCAAACCACAAGGCUCUGGGAGUGUGGAGGCCUGGGGCACCCAUGUGGGGGUGCAAGGGAUAUUUGUGGCAACCACCAGCCCUCCACAUUAGGAAGAGGGUGUAGCUGAGGCUCCCCUCUCCUUCCAGAGUGACCAAUUUCUGGGAAUCAGGCUCUCCCCAAUGACUUCCAUGAUGCAAUUUCAGUUAGAGAACCCUUUAUGCUGAUUCACCUCCCACUGAGUUCCUGGCUGAGCUGAAUGGGCUUAGGCUGCAGCAUAUAUCCCUGACCCAUACCUGCCACACUCUAUUUUCAGGGGUUUCACUGGCUUGCAAUCUACUGGGCUUGGCUGCCCCAGUUGGGUCCCUACUGUGCUGGGAUGGAGGAAAGGGCAUGGGCACCUUUUUGGCUGAGCUCGGUUGGGGGACUCAGCUCAGCUGCACCAGGAGCCUUCCAGUUCAGCUGGAGAUCCACUGCAUCCUAACAUGCUCAGCCUGGCAAAUCUUGCUAUAGGACUGUCCCCUCAGUAUUUAAGGUGCAACAAGACGGUUGUGCUGUUGUUUGUAAAGUAUGUGCUAAACACAAAUGUGUGCUUGGUCCUGAAUGCCUCAAUUUCCACUGUGAUGAGAGAGAGGAGUUUUUUGUCCGUGGUAGCCAACUGUCGCAGAGAGUAGAGUGGGCUGAUGGUGUUCAGCUGACCUCCAGAUGGGCUGUUGGUGCAUUGUCCCUCCACUCCAUCUUGGGAUGCAUCAGUGACCCAAGUGACCAGGGGUCAGGUGAGCACCUCUGGCCCACAACACCAUCUAGUGGUCAGAAAGCUACUUUUGGGGGCUUAAUCCGGUCCACCGGUCAGUUUAAUCCAGCUCCUGUGGCAGUUUAUUUCCUGGGGUAAAAUCAUAAAAAGCUCAACAACUUUGGUUGGCCCUCAUGGCCCUUCACUUCAUCAAAUCUGGCCCUUUUUGAAAAAAGUUUGGACACCACUAGCUUUCCCUAAGCUAUGAAAGCCCCAACUUCUUUUAGCCAUCCCACCCAGGGAAGGUGCUCCAGUCUCAGGUUAAUUUCUGGUGUCGCUCAGCUGAAAUUGGUUACCUGCUAAACUGAGAAAAGGCUCCUGAUUCUCAACUCUCCGGCUUGUCACAUAUUUGCCUCUCAUAAGUUUCUAUAUGUUCCAGAGAUUCUUGAAACAGAUCUGCCUCUCUCAUAACUUGAUUCUGGUACAAUAUUAAUUCACUGUCUAUUUUAUUAGGAUGAAUCUGGAAAAUAACAGAAUAGUUAACAUUUAAUCUGCUCCGGAAGAUUAACUUCACAAAAGUUCUUUUUGGGUUAAUAAAGGGACACUGUAUAGUUGAAUUAGAACUUGGAUAAUAAAAUGACUGUUAUUUAAAAGAGUUCUUGCCUUGAAAAAUGACAAAGCAAUAAGUUGAUCUCAAUUAUCCUCUCUACUAUUGACAUUCACAGCGGUUUCUUGGGAGAUUUUUUUACUCUGGUAUCAAAGUACAUCUGUACUGUACUAUUCAUACUGUGUGCGCACAUGCUUAAAACAAGGCUUUCCAAUUUUAAAAACACUGAUGCAGUAAGAGGGAAAACAAGUCCCCUGCUGCCAUGCAUUAUAACAAUGUUCCAGGUUCAUAUUAUACCAGAGGUAGAAAAAAAUGCUUUUAUUAGAUUUAUGAACUAAAUAAUUUCAUCAAACAGCAUAAAUUAUAAGAGCUUUGCACUGAAUUUGUGUGCUACCUGACAACACAUUUCUCAAUUCUUCAUGAUACUGUGGCUUAAUGGUUUCUAUUUAAAUUUAGCUUUUUCACAGAACAGACUUAUUUCAAAUUGACAACAAAAUUAUUAGAGACCUAUAGAGAUCUAAUUUGAUCCACCCACCAAGAAUGACAGCUUUACAGACAACUCACAUUGCUUUUCUGGUAUUUCACAAAGGACAAAGUGAAAAGACAUAACUGUGGCUAUAAGGUAUUUGAUAUUGUCUGUACAGUACAAUAAAUGGAAACUGGGAUAGCUCAGUCAUAAAGGAUGAGGCUUUUAAUCUCAGGUUUGUGGUUCGAGCCCCACAUUGGGCCAAAAAUUUCUGCAUUGCAAGGUUGGAUCAGAUGCCCCUUGCAGCUCCUUCCAACUCUACAAUUCUAUGAUUCUAUGAAAUAUCCCACAAACUUAAUAUGGCACUAACUUAAGACCUUUAUGACACCAUGUUAAAACCUUCCUAUUUUCCCAGGCAUUUCACUGCUUGUGACAAGCUAUACUGACCCCUAUACUGUUGAUGUUUCACUGUUGCAGAUGCAGUUAUUGCAGUUGUUGAUUAGUGAUGACUAGCAUGUUUUUACUGGUGUUUUUAUUUUAUUUGUAAGUCGUGUGCAGACUAUUUUUGUAUUAGGCAACUUAUAAAUCAUAGAAUUGUAGAGUAGCACUUCAACAGAAAAUUGUGGAGAAGAUACUUUGGCUAAAUAAUUCCAAAGUGCUCUGUUGUCUGCGAACUGAGACAUCCUGGCACCUAGAAAACUGAAGUAUUUCCCAACCCUGGUAAGAGCUUAUUCCUCAUGAAGAAUCUCCCAUAUUACAGUGGUGAUCUAACUCUUCUUGGCACUGCUAGACACAGGCCCAGAUGAGCUGGAGUUCAAAGGUUAUGCUCCCAUGCCAAGUUUGUAUAUGACUAAGCCAUCGGAUAUGACUAAACUGCAGGAGGCAGUGGAAGACAGAAGUGCCUGGCGUGCUCUGGUCCAUGGGGUCACAAAGACUAAACGACUAAACAACAAUGACUAAACGACUAAACAACAACAAGCCAUCUGAUUAGCCAAGGGUGGUGAUCAUGUGAUAUUAGGUAUGCUUCGUUUUCACAAAAUAGCCUAUAACUUAUUUAGAGGUGAUGUAUGCCAUACAGGACAAAACAUAUUAUUUUCCUUAAAAUUAUUUUGUUUUUGCUACCUGCCUUUCUGCAGAAUGACUCAAAUUCAAUGAGGCUAAGCAGCUGAGAAGAUGAAGCAGUUGCAAGUCAGAUUACAAUAAGCUGCAUGAUAUGAAGGAAGUUUUUGACAACUGCUCUGUGAACAGAAAGCCAGGAGAGCAGGCCAAGCAGGCCAGGAGACACCAGGAGCAUGGCUUCUGCUGCUCCAGCUGGAAGGUCUUCUCUGCUGCAGGGCUAUUGACUGCCAAGGGCCCUGUGGGGAAGGACCCCCCCCCCCAGGUUUAGUAAUCUGGGUAUGUUUUAAUGUGCAUUGAUGUUGUUCAUGAGUCCCUUUGAGUUUUGUACCCUGAAAAGUCGACUGUAGGUCAGGGGUGGGAAGUCCCUAUGGGCAGAUCCAGAACUGGUCCAGGCUCCGCAGACCACGUGGGCAGGUGGGGUGGCCUCAACCGCCUUUCCACACCCUGACAUCACAGAAUAUCAACUCAAAGUUCAAGAAGCACCUGCAAAGGAAGAAUCAGAAGCAUGCUUUCUGGGUGCUCAGAAUUCUUCCUUUAUCUGAGGCUUGGACUUUCCUGUGCUCAGCGCCAUGUCUUUUUCACUCUAUAAGACACACCCGACCAUAAGACGCACCUAGUUUUAGAGGAGAACAAGAAAAAAAUAUUUUUUCCCUCUCUGCUCAGCGCCCCUUCAGUGAAGCAGCAGGAGAAACAGAGCCCCUUCCAUUUCUCCUGCCGCUUUGCUGAAGGGGCACUGUGCAGAGAGGGAAAGCUGCGCAGCGCCUCCCCAGCGAAAGCAACGCGAAGCCUCCUGAGCACAGCGGGAGGAGUGCUCCCGCUGCGCUUAG